This 703-nucleotide transfer RNA is filed under the name uncultured cyanobacterium. RNAcentral's name for it is "partial 16S-23S ribosomal RNA intergenic spacer". The stretch from base 270 to 342 matches the Rfam family "tRNA". Lineage: Bacteria; Bacillati; Cyanobacteriota. The record is from RNAcentral.
CAGGGAGACAAAACUGAUCGUGAUGCCUAAGUAAAUCUUUCUUAGGUCAUGAUCCUGUCACCUUAGGUCGAUCGGUACCUCAGAUUAAGCAUAAAAAAAAGAGCUAACUAAAAAUUAGUCUCGCUAUUUUGUACUUGGUUUCAGUUCCUAAACUUGUCUAGGUCACACCCCGCAAGUGUUACUCCUGGGCCAUUAGCUCAGGUGGUUAGAGCGCACCCCUGAUAAGGGUGAGGUCCCUGGUUCAAGUCCAGGAUGGCCCAUUCGGUGUCGGGGGUAUAGCUCAGUUGGUAGAGCGCCUGCUUUGCAAGCAGGAUGUCAGCGGUUCGAGUCCGCUUACCUCCACUGAUCACACUCCUGAUGGCGAAAAUUGAGGAGUUAUCUUUGAUUGUUGUGAUUUAGAAUUUGUUUCACUGGAUUCAAAGAACCUAGCUUCCUUUCAUUCCAUUACUAAUUGUUUGAUUAGUUAAGGUUGACAGGACGCUGGGCUCACAUAAUUCAUUUUUUAAUGUUUUUUGUGAUUUCAGUAGAACCUUGACAACUGCAUAGGUGAGUCUGGAAAGAAUAAAGCAUCUCAUGGAUACAUUAUUCUUUUAUUUUAAUUCAAUUAUUACUUGAUAUUGACUUUCAAUAAAAGCUAAUGAUUUGUUCUUGAGCAAGAGCCAAGUCUCUAUAAAUUUUCUAAUGAAAUUUUAUAGAGGUUAUU